RNAcentral lists this ribosomal RNA (253 nucleotides) under uncultured bacterium. RNAcentral describes it as "partial 16S ribosomal RNA". It matches the Rfam family "Bacterial small subunit ribosomal RNA", at positions 524 to 776 of the family's 1533-position model. The record is from RNAcentral.
UACGUAGGCAGCGAGCGUUGUUCGGAGUUACUGGGCGUAAAGCGCGUGUAGGCGGCCCUGCAAGUCGGGUGUGAAAUCCCACGGCUCAACCGUGGAAGUGCACUCGAAACUGCAGGGCUAGAGUCCUGGAGAGGAAGGUGGAAUGCUUGGUGUAGAGGUGAAAUUCGUAGAUAUCAAGCGGAACACCGGUGGCGAAGGCGGCCUUCUGGACAGUGACUGACGCUGAGACGCGAAAGCGUGGGGAGCAAACAGG